This 205-nucleotide long non-coding RNA is filed under the name Mytilus galloprovincialis (Mediterranean mussel). The record is from RNAcentral. Lineage: Eukaryota; Metazoa; Mollusca; Bivalvia; Mytilida; Mytilidae.
UUUUUAUAUUCAGUAUUUUGAGUUCAUAUACGGGAAAAGGGGGAAUAACUAUGCAAUCUUAUUACUUUGUUUCUAUUACAGGAGAAGUGUUGGUGUAUUCUUCUGUGGACCAAGUGGAUUAUCAAAUACUCUUCACCAAGCGAGCAACAAACAUUCCGCUGUGCAUAAAACUGGGGCAAAGUUCUUCUAUAAUAAAGAAAACUUU